This 363-nucleotide ribosomal RNA is filed under the name Alcaligenes faecalis. RNAcentral describes it as "bacterial SSU rRNA". It matches the Rfam family "Bacterial small subunit ribosomal RNA", at positions 509 to 873 of the family's 1533-position model. The record is from RNAcentral. Lineage: Bacteria; Pseudomonadati; Pseudomonadota; Betaproteobacteria; Burkholderiales; Alcaligenaceae.
UAGCAGCCGCGGUAAUACGUAGGGUGCAAGCGUUAAUCGGAAUUACUGGGCGUAAAGCGUGUGUAGGCGGUUCGGAAAGAAAGAUGUGAAAUCCCAGGGCUCAACCUUGGAACUGCAUUUUUAACUGCCGAGCUAGAGUAUGUCAGAGGGGGGUAGAAUUCCACGUGUAGCAGUGAAAUGCGUAGAUAUGUGGAGGAAUACCGAUGGCGAAGGCAGCCCCCUGGGAUAAUACUGACGCUCAGACACGAAAGCGUGGGGAGCAAACAGGAUUAGAUACCCUGGUAGUCCACGCCCUAAACGAUGUCAACUAGCUGUUGGGGCCGUUAGGCCUUAGUAGCGCAGCUAACGCGUGAAGUGACCGCC